GAUGAACGCUGGCGGCGUGCCUAAUACAUGCAAGUCGAGCGCUGGAAAUCUAGCUUGCUAGAUUGAAGGAGUGGCGAACGGGUGAGUAAUACAUAAGCAACCUACCCACGAAGACUGGGAUAAUCUCUGGAAACGGGGACUAAUACCGGAUAGGUAAUCGAAAGGCAUCUUCUGAUUAUUAAAGGUUAAAAACCCUGGUGGAUGGGCUUAUGGGGCAUUAGUUAGUUGGUGUGGUAACGGCCCACCAAGACGAUGAUGCGUAGCCGGCCUGGGAGGGUGAACGGCCACAUUGAGACUGCGACACGGCCCAGACUCCUACGGGAGGCAGCAGUAGCGAAUUUUCGGCAAUGGGGGAAACCCUGACCGAGCGACGCCGCGUGAGUGAUGACGGCCUUCGGGUUGUAAAGCUCUGUUGUAAGGGAAGAACGGUAGAUAGAGAAUAUCUAAAUGACGGUACCUUACCAGAAAGCCACGGCUAACUACGUG
Molecule: ribosomal RNA, 486 nt
Filed under: uncultured bacterium
Lineage: Bacteria
Description: partial 16S ribosomal RNA
Rfam family: Bacterial small subunit ribosomal RNA
Source: RNAcentral